Molecule: ribosomal RNA, 1293 nt
Filed under: Salmonella enterica
Lineage: Bacteria; Pseudomonadati; Pseudomonadota; Gammaproteobacteria; Enterobacterales; Enterobacteriaceae
Description: partial 23S ribosomal RNA
Rfam family: Bacterial large subunit ribosomal RNA
Source: RNAcentral
CAGGUGGUCAGGUAGAGAAUACCAAGGCGCUUGAGAGAACUCGGGUGAAGGAACUAGGCAAAAUGGUGCCGUAACUUCGGGAGAAGGCACGCUGACACGUAGGUGAAGUGAUUUACUCAUGGAGCUGAAGUCAGUCGAAGAUACCAGCUGGCUGCAACUGUUUAUUAAAAACACAGCACUGUGCAAACACGAAAGUGGACGUAUACGGUGUGACGCCUGCCCGGUGCCGGAAGGUUAAUUGAUGGGGUCAGCGCAAGCGAAGCUCCUGAUCGAAGCCCCGGUAAACGGCGGCCGUAACUAUAACGGUCCUAAGGUAGCGAAAUUCCUUGUCGGGUAAGUUCCGACCUGCACGAAUGGCGUAAUGAUGGCCAGGCUGUCUCCACCCGAGACUCAGUGAAAUUGAACUCGCUGUGAAGAUGCAGUGUACCCGCGGCAAGACGGAAAGACCCCGUGAACCUUUACUAUAGCUUGACACUGAACAUUGAGCCUUGAUGUGUAGGAUAGGUGGGAGGCUUUGAAGUGUGGACGCCAGUCUGCAUGGAGCCGACCUUGAAAUACCACCCUUUAAUGUUUGAUGUUCUAACGUGGACCCGUAAUCCGGGUUGCGGACAGUGUCUGGUGGGUAGUUUGACUGGGGCGGUCUCCUCCUAAAGAGUAACGGAGGAGCACGAAGGUUGGCUAAUCCUGGUCGGACAUCAGGAGGUUAGUGCAAUGGCAUAAGCCAGCUUGACUGCGAGCGUGACGGCGCGAGCAGGUGCGAAAGCAGGUCAUAGUGAUCCGGUGGUUCUGAAUGGAAGGGCCAUCGCUCAACGGAUAAAAGGUACUCCGGGGAUAACAGGCUGAUACCGCCCAAGAGUUCAUAUCGACGGCGGUGUUUGGCACCUCGAUGUCGGCUCAUCACAUCCUGGGGCUGAAGUAGGUCCCAAGGGUAUGGCUGUUCGCCAUUUAAAGUGGUACGCGAGCUGGGUUUAGAACGUCGUGAGACAGUUCGGUCCCUAUCUGCCGUGGGCGCUGGAGAACUGAGGGGGGCUGCUCCUAGUACGAGAGGACCGGAGUGGACGCAUCACUGGUGUUCGGGUUGUCAUGCCAAUGGCACUGCCCGGUAGCUAAAUGCGGAAGAGAUAAGUGCUGAAAGCAUCUAAGCACGAAACUUGCCCCGAGAUGAGUUCUCCCUGAGACUUUAAGUCUCCUGAAGGAACGUUGAAGACGACGACGUUGAUAGGCCGGGUGUGUAAGCGCAGCGAUGCGUUGAGCUAACCGGUACUAAUGAACCGUGAGGCUUAACCUUACAAC